UUGGCUGCCAAAUCAGUGGACACACCCUGCAUGUCCCUGGCAGAGGCCUCUCCUACAGAUGAACAACCCCUUAAUUUUAAGGCUAUAGUAAUGGCCUUUCACAACCUUCACCCCAAAGCUGGUAAAAGUGAGACAGCACUUCUUUGCAGUGCAGAUACUCAAUGGAGGAAACAGUGCCAGGCAGCAGUGAAACCAACAGAGACCUCACGUCACCGUUUUGGUGGCCGUUUCAAAGUUCAGCUAGCAGUAGCUACAACCUCAGACAGAUGUUAUCGUCUCAUCCUUGAUAUCAUGGAAUUAUUCAGCCUUGGUAAACUUAAGGAGCAAAGGAAUACAAAAGUCAACACAUGUCUUUCCUUGGAGACUGCUUCAUUUAAAGAUGAGGCAACCCUUUAUAGAAAACAGAAUUAAGAAAUGGUGAUAUCUCCAAAGAAGAAUUCAACCAUCAACUGAAACAGAUUAAACAAGAAAACAAGGGAACUGGAAACAAUCAGGAGGCAGCUGCUGAAGUAUUAGUGCUGCAAGAACAACUGAAAGAGAAGGACUCUUUGAUUCAGGAGCUGAGGACACAGAACCAAGUUCUAAGACAGGAACUGCAUAAAAUGGAAUGUUUAGUUUC
Molecule: long non-coding RNA, 619 nt
Organism: Haliotis rufescens (red abalone)
Lineage: Eukaryota; Metazoa; Mollusca; Gastropoda; Lepetellida; Haliotidae
Exons: 4
Source: RefSeq, a predicted model, not a curated record